CAGGAACUACAGCCAUGAGGUAGUACUGUACUAUACACUAUCUCUAUAGGGCUCAGGAACUACGGCCAUGAGGUAGUACUGUACUAUACACUAUCUCUAUAGGGCUCAGGAACUACGGCCAUGAGGUAGUACUGUACUAUACACUAUCUCUAUAGGGCUCAGGAACUAUGACCAUGAGGUAGUACUGUACUAUACACUAUCUCUAUAGGGCUCAGGAACUACGGCCAUGAGGUAGUACUGUACUAUACACUAUCUCUAUAGGGCUCAGGAACUACGACCAUGAGGUAGUACUGUACUAUACACUAUCUCAAUGGGGCUCAGGAACUACAGCCAUGAGGUAGUACUGUACUAUACACUAUGGGGCUCAGGAACUACAGCCAUGAGGUAGUACUGUACUAUACACUAACUCUAUAGGGCUCAGGAACUACAGCCAUGAGGUAGUACUGUACUAUACACUAACUCUAUAGGGCUCAGGAACUACAGCCAUGAGGUAGUACUGUACUAUACACUAACUCUAUAGGGCUCAGGAACUAUGACCAUGAGGUAGUACUGUACUAUACACUAACUCUAUAGGGCUCAGGAACUACGACCAUGAGGUAGUACUGUACUAUACACUAUCUCUAUAGGGCUCAGGAACUACGACCAUGAGGUAGUACUGUACUAUACACUAUCUCUAUAGGGCUCAGGAACUACGACCAUGAGGUAGUACUGUACUAUACACUAUCUCUAUAGGGCUCAGGAACUACGGCCAUGAGGUAGUACUGUACUAUACACUAUCUCUAUGGGGCUCAGGAACUACGGCCAUGAGGUAGUACUGUACUAUACACUAUCUCUAUAGGGCUCAGG
Long non-coding RNA from Oncorhynchus keta (chum salmon), 846 nucleotides. RefSeq lists it as uncharacterized. NCBI's taxonomy places the organism in Eukaryota, Metazoa, Chordata, Actinopteri, Salmoniformes, Salmonidae. The record is from RefSeq and is a predicted model, not a curated record. The transcript is spliced from 4 exons.